Molecule: ribosomal RNA, 365 nt
Filed under: uncultured eukaryote
Lineage: Eukaryota
Description: partial 18S ribosomal RNA
Rfam family: Eukaryotic small subunit ribosomal RNA
Source: RNAcentral
CACUAGCGUAUAUUUAAGUUGUUGCAGUUAAAAAGCUCGUAGUCGGAUUUUGGCUGAGAACGAUCGGUCCGCCGUUAGGUGUGCACUGAUUGGUCUCAGCUUCCUGGUGAGGAGGUGUGCUUCACGGCCACUUAGUCACCGUGGUUACUUUGAAAAAAUUAGAGUGUUCAAAGCGGGCUUACGCUUGAAUAUAUUAGCAUGGAAUAACACCAUAGGACUCCUGUCCUAUUUCGUUGGUCUCGGGACGGGAGUAAUGAUUAAGAGGAACGGUUGGGGGCAUUCGUAUUUCAUUGUCAGAGGUGAAAUUCUUGGAUUUAUGAAAGACGAACUUCUGCGAAAGCAUUUGCCAAGGAUGUUUUCAUUGA